UUCGCUACAUGUUUCUUUUUCUUUUUCAUUUUUUUGCAUAUGUUCAAUCUUAUGCUAGAUUUAUUGGAUAAUUUAUUUGACAUUGAGCCUCUAAUCUGAUUACUUAGUCAAUUUGGUCAAUUGGGCAAUUUUUGAAUUAAAAUGUUCAAGUAUUUAGAUUAAUCAACAUGUGUGUUUUAAAGUUGAUAUAUGUAACUUGAUUUUUCAUAUAAAUUGAUUGUUUGGAAA
Molecule: long non-coding RNA, 228 nt
Filed under: Gossypium barbadense (sea-island cotton)
Lineage: Eukaryota; Viridiplantae; Streptophyta; Magnoliopsida; Malvales; Malvaceae
Description: long non-coding RNA (GBAR_LNC012636)
Source: RNAcentral